RNAcentral lists this ribosomal RNA (370 nucleotides) under uncultured bacterium. RNAcentral's name for it is "bacterial SSU rRNA". It matches the Rfam family "Bacterial small subunit ribosomal RNA", at positions 527 to 896 of the family's 1533-position model. The record is from RNAcentral.
GUAGGGGGCAAGCGUUGCUCGGAAUUACUGGGCGUAAAGGGAGUGCAGGCGGCCGGUUAAGUCAAAGAUGAAAUCCCGAAGCUUAACUUCGGAACGGUCUUUGAUACUGAUCGGCUUGAGGCUGGUUGAGGCGAGCAGAAUUCCCGGUGGAGCGGUGAAAUGCGUAGAUAUCGGGAGGAAUACCAGAGGCGAAGGCGGCUCGCUAAGCUAGUCCUGACGCUGAGACUCGAAAGCUAGGGGAGCAAACGGGAUUAGAUACCCCGGUAGUCCUAGCCGUAAACGAUGGGCACUAGCUAGAGGUCUCCCUGUGGGAUCCCUGGCGAAGCAAAUGUGAUAAGUGCCCCGCCUGGGGAGUACGGUCGCAAGGCUG